Molecule: unclassified non-coding RNA, 639 nt
Filed under: Hevea brasiliensis (rubber tree)
Lineage: Eukaryota; Viridiplantae; Streptophyta; Magnoliopsida; Malpighiales; Euphorbiaceae
Source: RNAcentral
AAAAAGGAGGCUGAUGUAAGGUAUGUCAAAUUAAACAUGAAGUGUCUGACCCAGGCUUAAAUUUCUAACAUUUCUGGUUUCAGACAAUCUUCUUUAGUGCAUAUGGUUUAUAAUGAGCUUCAUAGUGUACAAAUAUUAAAAAGUAACAAGUGGAAAUUAGCUGUUUUAUUACCUUUUACUUAGACAUGAUUUCCAUAACAUUGAUUCAUUCAACUUAGAGAAAAAUGGUGUCUGCUACAUUAGAGCAGAAACUGGCCAAUGCCAUUGCCAUAGAUUCCGUGGAGGGUGUCAGAACACUUGGCACUAAUUCCUUUGUACUUAUGUUCUGCCUGUACGUUAUAUAAUUCCAAGGACAUCUCUUUGAUUAUCAUGAGCCCUUUCAUCCCAGUUUUACUGGAUUAACAGUAUGACUUCAGCCUCAAAUCCUCAUGCGGUUCAGUUGUCAUUAGCACAGUUUCCCAACUGUUGCAGAUAUUCCUGGAAUUGGUCACUAAAUUCUGAAUGUGCCAAUCUGCAGGUACAAGGUAGGAGAUAUGGGCGUGCAGCAAGCAGAGCCUCGUUUGGAGCCCAAGAAGCACAGAAGACAGUCUCGCAAAAGGAUCAACCAAUCAAUCCUGGAUGAGUUGGAUGAACUGGAUG